This 639-nucleotide ribosomal RNA is filed under the name Bacillus cereus. Its description in RNAcentral is "bacterial SSU rRNA". It matches the Rfam family "Bacterial small subunit ribosomal RNA", at positions 133 to 757 of the family's 1533-position model. The record is from RNAcentral. Lineage: Bacteria; Bacillati; Bacillota; Bacilli; Caryophanales; Bacillaceae.
UAAGACUGGGAUAACUCCGGGAAACCGGGGCUAAUACCGGAUAAUAUUUUGAACUGCAUGGUUCGAAAUUGAAAGGCGGCUUCGGCUGUCACUUAUGGAUGGACCCGCGUCGCAUUAGCUAGUUGGUGAGGUAACGGCUCACCAAGGCAACGAUGCGUAGCCGACCUGAGAGGGUGAUCGGCCACACUGGGACUGAGACACGGCCCAGACUCCUACGGGAGGCAGCAGUAGGGAAUCUUCCGCAAUGGACGAAAGUCUGACGGAGCAACGCCGCGUGAGUGAUGAAGGCUUUCGGGUCGUAAAACUCUGUUGUUAGGGAAGAACAAGUGCUAGUUGAAUAAGCUGGCACCUUGACGGUACCUAACCAGAAAGCCACGGCUAACUACGUGCCAGCAGCCGCGGUAAUACGUAGGUGGCAAGCGUUAUCCGGAAUUAUUGGGCGUAAAGCGCGCGCAGGUGGUUUCUUAAGUCUGAUGUGAAAGCCCACGGCUCAACCGUGGAGGGUCAUUGGAAACUGGGAGACUUGAGUGCAGAAGAGGAAAGUGGAAUUCCAUGUGUAGCGGUGAAAUGCGUAGAGAUAUGGAGGAACACCAGUGGCGAAGGCGACUUUCUGGUCUGUAACUGACACUGAGGCGCGAA